GCUUCUCUGAAUAAAAGAAGAGCAGGCUUUUGUUCAGCAGGUGUCUGAAGAUUUCUGAGCUUCACUCAUUGCUGAGAUAUGGAUUCAAAGAAACCUGUACGCAGGCACCAUUUGCUUUGCCCAGUCUGUUUUAGGACCCAAGAACCA
Long non-coding RNA from Neoarius graeffei (lesser salmon catfish), 147 nucleotides. RefSeq lists it as uncharacterized. The record is from RefSeq and is a predicted model, not a curated record. Lineage: Eukaryota; Metazoa; Chordata; Actinopteri; Siluriformes; Ariidae. The transcript is spliced from 3 exons.